Molecule: ribosomal RNA, 120 nt
Filed under: Bison bison bison
Lineage: Eukaryota; Metazoa; Chordata; Mammalia; Artiodactyla; Bovidae
Source: RNAcentral
GUCUCAGGCCAGAUCAGCCUGAAGGCGCCCGAUCUGGUCUGAUCUCGGAAGCUAAGCAGGGUCGGGCCUGGUUAGUAUCUUGGAUGGGAGACCACCUGGGAAUCCCGGGUGCUCGAGGCU